RNAcentral lists this transfer-messenger RNA (357 nucleotides) under Phreatobacter sp. It matches the Rfam family "Alphaproteobacteria transfer-messenger RNA". From Rfam's summary of the family: Bacterial tmRNA, also known as 10Sa RNA or SsrA, is named for its dual tRNA and mRNA-like properties. Its role is to liberate the mRNA from a stalled ribosome. Lineage: Bacteria; Pseudomonadati; Pseudomonadota; Alphaproteobacteria; Hyphomicrobiales; Phreatobacteraceae. The record is from RNAcentral.
GCUCUUUCGCCGCGCCUCCGGCUCGCCUAUAUUCAGUGCGCCGGGGCAACCCGGCUAUGGCGAUAAACGGCCAUCGCAAUAAGCCUUUCGGACCCGGGGGCAGUACCCGGCGCCUCCACCAUCAGGGCCGCCCAGGCGGCGUUGGUGAUGGGGGCGAAACAGGAUCGACGAGGGUGUAAAGGGUGGACUUUUGCUCGGCAUGGUUCCGCCGUUAUCGGGCCGUCUCAAUAGUUGCCAACGACAACUAUGCUCCGGUGGCCGUUGCCGCGUAAUGCGGUAAUGGUACCGAAAUCAAAGUCCUUGCGGGUAGCACUGUAAGGCGGGGUUCGGAGGCACCUGGCAACAGAAGCCUCCACU